Molecule: transfer-messenger RNA, 374 nt
Filed under: Christensenellaceae
Lineage: Bacteria; Bacillati; Bacillota; Clostridia; Christensenellales
Also listed under: 1 other name
Description: Borkfalkia faecavium Standard tmRNA
Rfam family: transfer-messenger RNA
About the family: Bacterial tmRNA, also known as 10Sa RNA or SsrA, is named for its dual tRNA and mRNA-like properties. Its role is to liberate the mRNA from a stalled ribosome.
Source: RNAcentral
GGGGUAGCACCGGUUUCGAUUGCCGAUGCGCGGAAAAGUAAGCACGCAGAGGAACGAGUGGCCUCUAUAAAACAUUCGGCUUAAAUUUAAAUGCAGAUAAUGCAAACUACAACGCUGACGCUCAGUUGGCGUACGCUGCUUAAUUAGUUAAGCGGUUCGUCCGUACCUCUUUCCCGUCGGGAGGCUGCGGGUGUCAAUGUAGGCGGGGUACGGCCGUGCCGAGGUGAAGUCGGCGGCGCGGCGGCAUUUCGAUUUCUGCCUGUCGAACCCUUCGGUCGCAGAGGGCGCGGCAGUAAGAUAACUGCGGCAUAAGCGUGUAGAAAGCUUUUUGGCAAUUCGGUAAGACGCGAGUUCAACUCUCGCCUACUCCACCA